RNAcentral lists this ribosomal RNA (571 nucleotides) under Sachatamia albomaculata (white-spotted cochran frog). RNAcentral's name for it is "partial 16S ribosomal RNA". It matches the Rfam family "Bacterial large subunit ribosomal RNA", at positions 1819 to 2597 of the family's 2925-position model. The record is from RNAcentral. Lineage: Eukaryota; Metazoa; Chordata; Amphibia; Anura; Centrolenidae.
CGCCUCUUGAAUUAAAUAUAAGAGGUCCAGCCUGCCCAGUGACUCUGUUCAACGGCCGCGGUAUCCUAACCGUGCGAAGGUAGCGUAAUCACUUGUCCUUUAAAUGAGGACUAGUAUGAACGGCACCACGAAGGUUUUACUGUCUCCUUUUUCUAAUCAGUGAAACUAAUCUCCCCGUGAAGAAGCGGGGAUAAACCUAUAAGACGAGAAGACCCUAUGGAGCUUUAAACCACGUAACACUUGCACCAACUCAAUGUAAAUUUCCGAAGAACCUACUUCACCAAUGCAAGAUUAUUACCAGUUUUAGGUUGGGGUGACCGCGGAGCAAAAAACAACCUCCACAUUGAAAGGAUUAAUUAUUCUGAGCAAAGAACAACACCUCCAUGCACCAUUACAAUGACAUCAAUUGACCCAAUAUUUUGAUCAACGAACCAAGUUACCCUAGGGAUAACAGCGCAAUCUACUUCAAGAGCUCCUAUCGACAAGUAGGUUUACGACCUCGAUGUUGGAUCAGGGUAUCCCGGUGGUGCAGCCGCUACCAAAGGUUCGUUUGUUCAACGAUUAAAACCCU